Molecule: ribosomal RNA, 104 nt
Filed under: uncultured bacterium
Lineage: Bacteria
Description: partial 16S ribosomal RNA
Rfam family: Bacterial small subunit ribosomal RNA
Source: RNAcentral
CCGUUGUACACACCGCCCGUCACACCAUGGAGCGGGUUCUGCCAGAAGUAGUUAGCCUAACCGCAAGGAGGGCGAUUACCACGGCAGGGUUCGUGACUGGGGUG